GUCUACGGCCAUGCCAACCUGAAUGAGCCCGAUCCUGUCUGAUCUUGGGAGCUAAGCAGAGUCAGGCCUGGUUAGUACUUGGAUAGGAGAUCACCUAGGAAGACCAGGUGCUGUAGGCA
Pteropus vampyrus (large flying fox) is the source of this 119-nucleotide ribosomal RNA. NCBI's taxonomy places the organism in Eukaryota, Metazoa, Chordata, Mammalia, Chiroptera, Pteropodidae. The record is from Ensembl.